UGGGGAAUAUUGCACAAUGGGGGAAACCCUGAUGCAGCGACGCCGCGUGAGCGAAGAAGGCUUUCGAGUCGUAAAGCUCUGUCCUAUGAGAAGAUAAUGACGGUAUCAUAGGAGGAAGCCCUGGCUAAAUACGUGCCAGCAGCCGCGGUAAUACGUAUGGGGCGAGCGUUGUCCGGAAUUAUUGGGCGUAAAGGGUACGUAGGCGGUUUUUUAAGUCAGGUGUCAAAGCGUGGAGCUUAACUCCAUUAAGCACUUGAAACUGAAAGACUUGAGUGAAGGAGAGGAAAGUGGAAUUCCUAGUGUAGCGGUGAAAUGCGUAGAUAUUAGGAGGGAUACCGGUUGCGAAGGCGACUUUCUGGGCUUUUACUGACGCUCAGGUACGAAAGCGUGGGGAGCAAACAGG
RNAcentral lists this ribosomal RNA (403 nucleotides) under Verrucomicrobiota bacterium. Its description in RNAcentral is "Verrucomicrobia bacterium partial 16S ribosomal RNA". It matches the Rfam family "Bacterial small subunit ribosomal RNA", at positions 355 to 776 of the family's 1533-position model. The record is from RNAcentral. Lineage: Bacteria; Pseudomonadati; Verrucomicrobiota.